GAUCCCUUUAGCACCCUCUGCCCCUCUACUUCUCUUCCUUCGCUCCCCCGCUCCAACCCCUAGCCGUCCGUUUAGCCAGGCAAGCGAGCUUUUCUCGACCAAUCGAGAGAAUGCAUUUUUACCCCCACAUUCGAAUUGGUGAUUCACACCCCCGCACUAUCUUUCCACGUUGGAGCAACAAAUACACAAUACUCCUUUUUUCUCUCUCUUUCCUAGCUGUUCUAUCCCUACCAUCCCUUAUCAUCUAUUUUCAUUCGAUUUAACGUUUACGUUUUUUUGCGAGGACUUAAGACUUUUUUUUAAAUAAAAUCAAUCCAGUUCGAGGUAUAUAUACUCGCUAAAUCGGACCAUUCCAGUUCGAACUAUAAGUAGCGUAUAUAUAUAUAUAUAUGUAGCUUCGACAUCGCGUACCAAUUAUUAUAAAAAUCAAUUAUUAAGAUUUAUAAGUUAUUUCGUUUGGAAGUGAAUGGGAAGAGAUCGGCGCCUCGCAGUGUGAAUGUGCAGAAUAAAUGAAUGAUCAAGCAACGAGGAAGAGUGGAAGCCAGUUCCUCAGCGUGCAUGAUUCUAACGCGAGAAUGAUAUAGAACUCGUGGUCCUAAACACGGGAGAUGAGAGCUUUUCACCGAGGGAAACACGAUCACAUCGUUCUAUACAUGGUUGCUAUAGAAGCUUACCGCUGUGGCGGCAUUCCAGGGCGCAGACGGUUUAAUCGUAGCCACCUCCUCCAGAGCGUACGUGUGCAUGCAGCUACGUAGUCCAGCACCUAUAUACUCGGCGGAAGAGUUUUCCAU
Long non-coding RNA from Bombus terrestris (buff-tailed bumblebee), 791 nucleotides. RefSeq lists it as uncharacterized. The record is from RefSeq and is a predicted model, not a curated record. NCBI's taxonomy places the organism in Eukaryota, Metazoa, Arthropoda, Insecta, Hymenoptera, Apidae. The transcript is spliced from 3 exons.